Molecule: ribosomal RNA, 2925 nt
Filed under: Escherichia coli
Lineage: Bacteria; Pseudomonadati; Pseudomonadota; Gammaproteobacteria; Enterobacterales; Enterobacteriaceae
Description: 23S ribosomal RNA
Rfam family: Bacterial large subunit ribosomal RNA
Source: RNAcentral
GGGUUGUGAGGUUAAGCGACUAAGCGUACACGGUGGAUGCCCUGGCAGUCAGAGGCGAUGAAGGACGUGCUAAUCUGCGAUAAGCGUCGGUAAGGUGAUAUGAACCGUUAUAACCGGCGAUUUCCGAAUGGGGAAACCCAGUGUGAUUCGUCACACUAUCAUUAACUGAAUCCAUAGGUUAAUGAGGCGAACCGGGGGAACUGAAACAUCUAAGUACCCCGAGGAAAAGAAAUCAACCGAGAUUCCCCCAGUAGCGGCGAGCGAACGGGGAGCAGCCCAGAGCCUGAAUCAGUGUGUGUGUUAGUGGAAGCGUCUGGAAAGGCGCGCGAUACAGGGUGACAGCCCCGUACACAAAAAUGCACAUGCUGUGAGCUCGAUGAGUAGGGCGGGACACGUGGUAUCCUGUCUGAAUAUGGGGGGACCAUCCUCCAAGGCUAAAUACUCCUGACUGACCGAUAGUGAACCAGUACCGUGAGGGAAAGGCGAAAAGAACCCCGGCGAGGGGAGUGAAAAAGAACCUGAAACCGUGUACGUACAAGCAGUGGGAGCACGCUUAGGCGUGUGACUGCGUACCUUUUGUAUAAUGGGUCAGCGACUUAUAUUCUGUAGCAAGGUUAACCGAAUAGGGGAGCCGAAGGGAAACCGAGUCUUAACUGGGCGUUAAGUUGCAGGGUAUAGACCCGAAACCCGGUGAUCUAGCCAUGGGCAGGUUGAAGGUUGGGUAACACUAACUGGAGGACCGAACCGACUAAUGUUGAAAAAUUAGCGGAUGACUUGUGGCUGGGGGUGAAAGGCCAAUCAAACCGGGAGAUAGCUGGUUCUCCCCGAAAGCUAUUUAGGUAGCGCCUCGUGAAUUCAUCUCCGGGGGUAGAGCACUGUUUCGGCAAGGGGGUCAUCCCGACUUACCAACCCGAUGCAAACUGCGAAUACCGGAGAAUGUUAUCACGGGAGACACACGGCGGGUGCUAACGUCCGUCGUGAAGAGGGAAACAACCCAGACCGCCAGCUAAGGUCCCAAAGUCAUGGUUAAGUGGGAAACGAUGUGGGAAGGCCCAGACAGCCAGGAUGUUGGCUUAGAAGCAGCCAUCAUUUAAAGAAAGCGUAAUAGCUCACUGGUCGAGUCGGCCUGCGCGGAAGAUGUAACGGGGCUAAACCAUGCACCGAAGCUGCGGCAGCGACGCUGAUGCGUUGUUGGGUAGGGGAGCGUUCUGUAAGCCUGCGAAGGUGUGCUGUGAGGCAUGCUGGAGGUAUCAGAAGUGCGAAUGCUGACAUAAGUAACGAUAAAGCGGGUGAAAAGCCCGCUCGCCGGAAGACCAAGGGUUCCUGUCCAACGUUAAUCGGGGCAGGGUGAGUCGACCCCUAAGGCGAGGCCGAAAGGCGUAGUCGAUGGGAAACAGGUUAAUAUUCCUGUACUUGGUGUUACUGCGAAGGGGGGACGGAGAAGGCUAUGUUGGCCGGGCGACGGUUGUCCCGGUUUAAGCGUGUAGGCUGGUUUUCCAGGCAAAUCCGGAAAAUCAAGGCUGAGGCGUGAUGACGAGGCACUACGGUGCUGAAGCAACAAAUGCCCUGCUUCCAGGAAAAGCCUCUAAGCAUCAGGUAACAUCAAAUCGUACCCCAAACCGACACAGGUGGUCAGGUAGAGAAUACCAAGGCGCUUGAGAGAACUCGGGUGAAGGAACUAGGCAAAAUGGUGCCGUAACUUCGGGAGAAGGCACGCUGAUAUGUAGGUGAAGCGACUUGCUCGUGGAGCUGAAAUCAGUCGAAGAUACCAGCUGGCUGCAACUGUUUAUUAAAAACACAGCACUGUGCAAACACGAAAGUGGACGUAUACGGUGUGACGCCUGCCCGGUGCCGGAAGGUUAAUUGAUGGGGUCAGCGCAAGCGAAGCUCUUGAUCGAAGCCCCGGUAAACGGCGGCCGUAACUAUAACGGUCCUAAGGUAGCGAAAUUCCUUGUCGGGUAAGUUCCGACCUGCACGAAUGGCGUAAUGAUGGCCAGGCUGUCUCCACCCGAGACUCAGUGAAAUUGAACUCGCUGUGAAGAUGCAGUGUACCCGCGGCAAGACGGAAAGACCCCGUGAACCUUUACUAUAGCUUGACACUGAACAUUGAGCCUUGAUGUGUAGGAUAGGUGGGAGGCUUUGAAGUGUGGACGCCAGUCUGCAUGGAGCCGACCUUGAAAUACCACCCUUUAAUGUUUGAUGUUCUAACGUUGACCCGUAAUCCGGGUUGCGGACAGUGUCUGGUGGGUAGUUUGACUGGGGCGGUCUCCUCCUAAAGAGUAACGGAGGAGCACGAAGGUUGGCUAAUCCUGGUCGGACAUCAGGAGGUUAGUGCAAUGGCAUAAGCCAGCUUGACUGCGAGCGUGACGGCGCGAGCAGGUGCGAAAGCAGGUCAUAGUGAUCCGGUGGUUCUGAAUGGAAGGGCCAUCGCUCAACGGAUAAAAGGUACUCCGGGGAUAACAGGCUGAUACCGCCCAAGAGUUCAUAUCGACGGCGGUGUUUGGCACCUCGAUGUCGGCUCAUCACAUCCUGGGGCUGAAGUAGGUCCCAAGGGUAUGGCUGUUCGCCAUUUAAAGUGGUACGCGAGCUGGGUUUAGAACGUCGUGAGACAGUUCGGUCCCUAUCUGCCGUGGGCGCUGGAGAACUGAGGGGGGCUGCUCCUAGUACGAGAGGACCGGAGUGGACGCAUCACUGGUGUUCGGGUUGUCAUGCCAAUGGCACUGCCCGGUAGCUAAAUGCGGAAGAGAUAAGUGCUGAAAGCAUCUAAGCACGAAACUUGCCCCGAGAUGAGUUCUCCCUGACUCCUUGAGAGUCCUGAAGGAACGUUGAAGACGACGACGUUGAUAGGCCGGGUGUGUAAGCGCAGCGAUGCGUUGAGCUAACCGGUACUAAUGAACCGUGAGGCUUAACCUUACAACGCCGAAG